CCCGUGAACUCAUACUAACCUGUGUGGUGCGGGGUAGGCGCACUCAUGUGCCUCCACCCCUUGCCCGCAAGCCCGGGCGCGCCCAAUGCUACACCGAACUCGUUUUCAUGCUAGCAGAGGGUGCUCCUACGGGCACUUCAACGAACCCCGGCGCGGAAUGCGCCAAGGAAUUCAUAACGAACUUAGCACACCGCUAGCUGACUCGUGCGGCAGCGGUGCAGCAAACUUCGAUACCUAAACGACUCUCGGCAACGGAUAUCUCGGCUCUCGCAUCGAUGAAGAACGUAGCGAAAUGCGAUACUUGGUGUGAAUUGCAGAAUCCCGUGAACCAUCGAGUUUUUGAACGCAAGUUGCGCCCGAAGCCACUCGGCCGAGGGCACGUCUGCCUGGGCGUCACGUAUCGCGUCGCUCCCCCAAGCCUGCCCACCCAUGGGCACGGUGCAGAGGAAGCGGAGAUUGGCCUCCCAUGCCCCAUGCACGGUUGGCCUAAAUGCAAGCCUCAGGGUGACGAAAGGGUCACGACAAGCGGUGGUUGAUCAUACCUCGGCCCUUGUUGCGUCGUGCCCGUCCGCACCCCAUCGAGCUCAGCAUCCCCGACGCGUCGUCUCGACGGCGUUUGCUUCGCGACC
Molecule: ribosomal RNA, 629 nt
Filed under: Myriophyllum trifidum
Lineage: Eukaryota; Viridiplantae; Streptophyta; Magnoliopsida; Saxifragales; Haloragaceae
Description: eukaryotic LSU rRNA
Rfam family: 5.8S ribosomal RNA (bases 241-396)
Source: RNAcentral